AGGAUCAUUACAGUAGUCAUCCGGGUUGCCGCAAGGCCUCCCGGGUAACCUACCACCCUUUGUUUAUUACACUUUGUUGCUUUGGCAGGCCUGCCCUCGGGCUGCUGGCUCCGGCCGGCGAGCGUCUGCCAGAGGACCUAAACUCUGUUUGUCUAUAAUGUCUGAGUACUAUAUAAUAGUUAAAACUUUCAACAACGGAUCUCUUGGUUCUGGCAUCGAUGAAGAACGCAGCGAAAUGCGAUAAGUAAUGUGAAUUGCAGAAUUCAGUGAAUCAUCGAAUCUUUGAACGCACAUUGCGCCCCCUGGUAUUCCGGGGGGCAUGCCUGUCCGAGCGUCAUUACAACCCUCAAGCUCAGCUUGGUGUUGGGCCCCGCCGCCCCGGCGGGCCCUAAAGUCAGUGGCGGUGCCGUCCGGCUCCGAGCGUAGUAAUUCUUCUCGCUCUGGAGGUCCGGUCGUGUGCUUGCCAGCAACCCCCAAUUUUUUUCAGGUUGACCUCGGAUCAGGUAGGGAUACCCGCUGAACUUAAGCAUAUCAAUAAGCGGAGGAAAAGAAACCAACAGGGAUUACCUCAGUAACGGCGAGUGAAGCGGUAACAGCUCAAAUUUGAAAUCUGGCCUCACGGUCCGAGUUGUAAUUUGUAGAGGAUGCUUCGAGCAUGGUCUGGCCUAAGUUCCUUGGA
This 679-nucleotide unclassified non-coding RNA is filed under the name Pseudogymnoascus pannorum. Its description in RNAcentral is "sequence contains 18S rRNA gene, ITS1 and 5.8S rRNA gene, ITS2". The stretch from base 184 to 337 matches the Rfam family "5.8S ribosomal RNA". The record is from RNAcentral. Lineage: Eukaryota; Fungi; Ascomycota; Leotiomycetes; Thelebolales; Thelebolaceae.